Megachile rotundata (alfalfa leafcutting bee) is the source of this 835-nucleotide long non-coding RNA. RefSeq lists it as uncharacterized. The record is from RefSeq and is a predicted model, not a curated record. NCBI's taxonomy places the organism in Eukaryota, Metazoa, Arthropoda, Insecta, Hymenoptera, Megachilidae.
UGAAUGUCAUAUAAUUCAAAUCAAUAUCUAUUGUCAAAUAAUUCCUUUUCAAUGAGCAACUUUUAUAAGUAAAAGAAAUUCAAUCUUCGCGAUGAAUUUAAUAAAAUAAAACCUGAUGUUUUUGUCCGUAUUAGGGAUUCCUUCAGUUGUAGCUAAUAUAGUAUUUCGGUGGCCGUUUACGUUUGGGCGCCCCCUGUCACAGUGCCUUCGAACGUCGCCCUAACCUAUCUUUUGCGAAACGUCACGAUUUUCUUCCGAACGCCGUCGUUUCGUGGUAAAUAAUUGAAUAAUUAUGGCACCGUAUUACGGACAAGCUCGAAAAUCUCGCUGUGUCACAGAAAUGACUCGAAAAUAAAAAAGGCUCGUAGGUGUGAUUUAUUCUUUUCUUACUACAUCAGAUCAUUUUACGAUAUAAUAUGCAUUUCGUGCGACGGAGUACCGUUUAUAAUCGAUUUAUGUGAAACAGUUCCGUAAGCAUUUCUUAAGGAUUUAGAUAAGAAUUUCUAUCAAGAUCGAAGACGCUCCGUGCAUACUUCGAUAAAUAUUUUCGGCAUAUGAAAUUUAUCUUAAAUCUUAUACGUGGAUAAUUAUAUUUAAUUUGAAUGUUUAGAAUAAAAAAUACAAAUCAAGUUUCUUCGGAGUGUUUUUUCAGGAACACGACGGUAAACAGUAGCCAGAUCUGAAUCUGUACUACGUCACUUAAUUACUCGUUAUCGUACGAUGAUGACUAACUGAUAAUCGAGCUUCGUGCAUUCUUGCGAUGAUAAGGAACAAUGCGUGAAAAAAGCAGGUGGAAUUGCGAUCGCAAGAUGAAACUUCGUUCAAUCAAAAAAAA